This 265-nucleotide ribosomal RNA is filed under the name uncultured archaeon. RNAcentral describes it as "partial 16S ribosomal RNA". It matches the Rfam family "Archaeal small subunit ribosomal RNA", at positions 717 to 982 of the family's 1478-position model. The record is from RNAcentral.
ACACGACUACAUUAGAUACCCCGGUAGUCCCAGCCCUAAACGAUGCGCGUUAGGUGUAUCGGUGACCACGAGUCACCGAGGUGCCGAAGGGAAACCGUGAAACGUGCCGCCUGGGAAGUACGGUCGCAAGGCUGAAACUUAAAGGAAUUGGCGGGGGAGCACCACAACGGGUGGAGCUUGCGGUUUAAUUGGAUUCAACGCCGGGAAGCUCACCGGAUAAGACAGCGGAAUGAUUGCCGGGCUGAAGACCCUGCAUGACCAGCUG